Long non-coding RNA from Pogona vitticeps (central bearded dragon), 2202 nucleotides. RefSeq lists it as uncharacterized. Lineage: Eukaryota; Metazoa; Chordata; Lepidosauria; Squamata; Agamidae. The record is from RefSeq and is a predicted model, not a curated record.
AGGACGGAGGCACCGCCCACUUCACCUGAGCAGGAAUCUCUCUUAAAGAGAACUUUGCGCAGCCAGACCUGAGCUGCGCUGACCGCCAAACCUGUUGGGAAGGGUUUAAAGACGCAGACCCGUCUUGGUCCUCCCCACGACCCGCGCUUUUCAAGGAAAUGGAAGCUAUGAAUGACUUAACUUGGGAAGGGAAGACUACUUUAGCGGACUUCUCUUAGUUUUACCUGGGACUCCAGAACAGGGGAGGCGAGGGGCUCAAGCUCUUCCUAAGAGUAGGCUGGAACGUUUGCCUCCCAAGUUACAGUAUUUACUUAGGAAUAAAUAACACCGUAUUUGAACAUACGGAAGGUGCAUCCAGGUUGACAACGUAGAGCAUUUCUUGUGAACACUGACCAAAGAAAGAAGCAAUUUGCGUUUCUGUGACUUAUGAUUUCAGGAAUAUUUCUUGAGAUGGGCUGACUACCUCUGACUAGAGGUAGGAAACACAUCCUUCAAAAGCAAGACUUAGAAGAGCAGAUCAUUUCCCUGGGACUUCAGAUGCUGUCCUGAGACCUGGCAACCAUGCAUCUGUACAACUAUCAGUUUCCAACUGCAUACUAAAACCAGCCAACUAACCUACCCUGCAUGGAAGCAGUUAGUCUACUGUAGCAAGUACCCAAAAGAGUCUUGCAACACCUUAAUUUAAACCAAAUUAGAGCAAAACAAAUAGUUUUACCUGGUGGGUGCUUUCUUUAGCAUGCAGUACCGCUUGUUUGGUGUCAAGAAUCCAUGAUGUUCAAGAACUCCUAUUGGUCUUCAGUUGAUGCCCUGAUCAGCCAUUCUAUGGUAUCCUACAGUUCAGGAAAAAUCAGGAAAAGGCCACGUGGCUAUAGAAAUGAUACAAAUGCAGGAACAAAUUCCAGACUGCUAGCUGAGGAGGCUCUUGAAACCACCUCCCUUCCACCCCCUCCCCUCCCCUAGAGCAUUUCCAGACUGCAGCUCUUUCCAACUAAGAAGCUGCCCUGGCCUCAACAUCAGCCACGUGGCUUUGGGAUAACAGCAUAUAAUUUUGGAGGUACCCACAAGUGAUGCACAGCCUUGAAGAAUAAGAUUUAUCGUUGGAAGAGCCCAAAACAUUAUGCCAAACAAGACCUGUGAAUCUUUAAGGUGCCACAAGACCCUUUCUUAGUUUCACUUUUCCUUCAUGAGCCCCACAUAAUUGCCAGACACCGAACAGAAUGUCCUCCUGUUCCUUGUGGCUGGAGAGAUAUCCAGAUUCCCACUUUCUAGGUUCUUCAGCUGGCCAGGCACUUGGCCAUUUCCUUCAACCAUUUCCAUGUUUUACUUUGACAGCUGUACACUGUUCAUGAUGCAUUUGUACAGAAUUUGCUGCAGAGGAGAAGCAUGCCAUUUUAGAGACAGUUGCAUCCUAUAGACUCUGGAAAGUAUGUAGAGCCUUACGACAGCAGCAGCAGCAGCGAUUAUAGUUUCACACUUGUUAUCAGGUCCAGUUGAAAGGAAACUGUGAAAAUAUGUUGUAGAUAACGAUCAGUGAAUCAAUAUCACAUGUUUGGCACUACUGUUUGGCUCAUUCAUUUUAGCUGAAUCAUUUGUUCAUGUUUAGUCUUUCAUUCUGUAUGAAUUAAGGGCUUUGCUCCUGCUGACUUUUUUUGCUUUUCCUCUGGUUGUGGACCACUGCAGAGAUUUUGCCCACAUUGUCCCUAUCAUAAAUAUUUCACCAUCAUUGUAUGAAAGUAAUUGAUGUACAAGAAUAUAUACUCUUUGUGGCACAUUGCUCAAAACACAGAAGUUUGCGUCUAGAUUGCAUUUAAAUAAUUUGCUUCCUUCUCUCAGUUUGCAAUUUUUUAAAAAAUACACUUUUAUCAGUCCUUGACUGUUUCUUGAAAUUUCACUGUGCUGAAAUGACGGUCCUUUGCAAUUAGGCAAUAGCUUCCUAUUACCACUGAAAAAAGAGGCAGGGAAGUGAAACUGAUGCAGAGCCUUUUAGUUUCAACCGCUGCCUUCCCUUUCACCUUCAAAAGAACAGCAUGUGGAACCAGCAAAUUAACCCACACACUUCAAACACCAGAAGGGAGGUGAUGGUUUUCUAAGCUUCAUGACUACUGCCUGUUGAAAUAUCAAAAUACUGUAUUAAAUUUGAAACUAACCAGAAAAACCAAGUGGGCAAAUUUGACAGUUCCAAAAAGGACUGGACACCCUGAA